UACGGGCGGAGCGAGCGUUGUUCGGAUUCAUUGGGUGUAAAGGGUGCGAAGGCGGUCGUCUAAGUCGGAGGUGAAAUGUCUACGGCUCAACCGAGGCAUUGCCUCCGAUACUGGACGACUUGAGUGCGGAAGGGGAGCGUGGAAUUCCUGGUGUAGCGGUGAAAUGCGUAGAUAUCAGGAGGAACACCGGUGGCGAAGGCGACGCUCUGGUCCGCAACUGACGCUCAUGCACGAAAGCCAGGGGAGCGAACGGGAUUAGAUACCCCGGUAGUCCUGGCCGUAAACGUUGGGCACUAGGUGUGGGAGGUAUCGACCCCUUCCGUGCCGUAGCUAACGCAUUAAGUGCCUCACCUGGGGAGUACGACCGCAAGGUUGAA
RNAcentral lists this ribosomal RNA (377 nucleotides) under uncultured bacterium. RNAcentral's name for it is "bacterial SSU rRNA". It matches the Rfam family "Bacterial small subunit ribosomal RNA", at positions 524 to 898 of the family's 1533-position model. The record is from RNAcentral.